This is a long non-coding RNA of Pollicipes pollicipes, 471 nucleotides long. RefSeq lists it as uncharacterized. The transcript has 4 exons. The record is from RefSeq and is a predicted model, not a curated record. NCBI's taxonomy places the organism in Eukaryota, Metazoa, Arthropoda, Thecostraca, Pollicipedomorpha, Pollicipedidae.
AUCGUAGCGGGCGUUAAUCCGGGAGCGUUGUUUGUGUGCUGGUGCCACGGCUGUCGUGUGCCCGUGACAAGAAAAGCAUGUCCGCGGAGGGGAUGCGUGUGGCUGCUGAAGAUCUUGCAUCUGAACUUGUGCUCAAUAUUAAAGAAGAGUCUGAAAAGUGCCGAGGCGCGACGAAUCCAUGUUUUUGCUGUUCCUCCGUGGUGGAGGAUCCUGCUAAUGUCGUUUCUGAACUGAUCUUGGAUGGGUCAGGCGAUGCCAUGCUUGAUGUCCUCAAGGACCUGCUGGGGAUAUCGGAGGUGCGGGAGGCAGCUCGCCUCUGCCGCACGUGCGUCAGCAAGCUGUACAGCUACUGUCAGAUGUCGUCAGCCGUCUCUCAGAUGCGGCGUGACAUGCGGAUCGUCUUCGCCAAGGCGUCGGCCGCUUUUGCAAAGACGCGGGCGGAGGAGGCGCUCCGCCAGCCGGGUGGCUCUC